GCGGUAUUCGACGGAAAAUAAAUUAAUUAAUAACAAAAUAAACUAAAACGUGUUUACUUAAACUGAUAUCAACACAAUGUCAAUGAAAUAUAAUAAAUACUAUUUGAUUAUAUAAGUUUUGCAUUUCUACAAUAGGAUAGCACAAAUUUCAGCUGUGUUGCAUCGCGGUGUUGUGCUAUACAAUACUACAAGUUUUCUUCCUCCAUAUCACUACCCAGAUCAUCUUCUGAAUCAUCUUCAAGGCUACCGCUUUCGCUGGACUCGUGUGGACAAUUUGUGCAUCCAACACACUGGCACAUUUCAUUACACUGGUUGUUGGCCUUUUUACAGGAGCAUCUUAGGGUUGAACAACCGGUGUUACAUUUGCAGUUGCAAUCUUUGAGCAGUACAUCAGGAGCACAUUUCUUUGUCAUCCACACCACAUCAAUAUUUCCUUCUUCAUCAAUCUUCCAUCCAUGAUCAAUUGGUAAAGGCGCGUCAAUUGUUGGAGUUGUUGCUCUUUUCCAUAUUGCGGCCUGGUAAUUUGCUCGCUGGAUGUGUUGUACAAGACAAUCCUCAUUUGGAGGCAAUGCUGCAUCAGAGAAUUUACCCAUCCUAAACAUGUCAUAUCUUGCUUUAUUGACAGAUGUGGUAUCCUUAGCCCCAUAUAGCAUGCAUGUAAGUGACUCGAGGUUUUCCUGAAUGGAUUCAUCAACGUCAAAGUCCUCACCAAGACGCACAAAUGUGUCGAGAGCUGUUUCGUCAUUUGAAACUAAUUUCCAGGUUGAUAUCUUACUUCGACCAUAAAAUGA
Molecule: non-coding RNA, 791 nt
Organism: Paramuricea clavata
Lineage: Eukaryota; Metazoa; Cnidaria; Anthozoa; Malacalcyonacea; Plexauridae
Source: the annotation of a GenBank genome assembly